This 253-nucleotide ribosomal RNA is filed under the name uncultured bacterium. RNAcentral describes it as "partial 16S ribosomal RNA". It matches the Rfam family "Bacterial small subunit ribosomal RNA", at positions 524 to 776 of the family's 1533-position model. The record is from RNAcentral.
UACGUAGGUGGCAAGCGUUGUCCGGAUUUACUGGGCGUAAAGAGUAUGUAGGCGGACAUUUAAGUAGAAAGUGAAAGGUUGGAGCUUAACUCCAACACUGCUUCCUAUACUGGGUGUCUUGAGUGCCGGAGAGGAAAGCGGAACGACACGUGUAGCGGUGAAAUGCGCAGAUAUCAGGAGGAACACCGGUGGCGAAGGCGGGUCUCUGGGCAGUAACUGACGCUGAGGAGCGAAAGCGUGGGGAGCGAACAGG